Molecule: ribosomal RNA, 497 nt
Filed under: uncultured bacterium
Lineage: Bacteria
Description: partial 16S ribosomal RNA
Rfam family: Bacterial small subunit ribosomal RNA
Source: RNAcentral
GAUGAACGCUGGCGGCGUGCCUAAUACAUGCAAGUCGAGCGAACAGACGGGGAGCUUGCUCCUCUGACGUUAGCGGCGGACGGGUGAGUAACACGUGGAUAACCUACCUAUAAGACUGGGAUAACUUCGGGAAACCGGAGCUAAUACCGGAUAAUAUAUUGAACCGCAUGGUUCAAUAGUGAAAGACGGUUUUGCUGUCACUUAUAGAUGGAUCCGCGCCGCAUUGGCUAGUUGGUAAGGUAACGGCUUACCAAGGCAACGAUGCGUAGCCGACCUGAGAGGGUGAUCGGCCACACUGGAACUGAGACACGGUCCAGACUCCUACGGGAGGCAGCAGUAGGGAAUCUUCCGCAAUGGGCGAAAGCCUGACGGAGCAACGCCGCGUGAGUGAUGAAGGUCUUCGGAUCGUAAAACUCUGUUAUUAGGGAAGAACAAAUGUGUAAGUAACUAUGCACGUCUUGACGGUACCUAAUCAGAAAGCCACGGCUAACUACGUG